GACGAACGCUGGCGGCGUGCUUAACACAUGCAAGUCGAGCGGUAAGGCCCUUUCGGGGGUACGACGAGCGGCGAACGGGUGAGUAACACGUGGGUGACCUGCCCUCAGCUCUGGGAUAAGCCUGGGAAACCGGGUCUAAUACUGGAUAUGACUCCAUGACGCAUGUUGUGGGGUGGAAAGCCUUGUGCGGCUGAGGAUGGGCCCGCGGCCUAUCAGCUUGUUGGUGGGGGUGAGGCCUACCAAGGCGACGACGGGUAGCCGGCCUGAGAGGGCGACCGGCCACACUGGGACUGAGACACGGCCCAGGGCUCCUACGGGAGGCAGCAGUGGGGAAUCUUGCGCAAUGGGCGAAAGCCUGACGCAGCGACGCCGCGUGAGGGAUGACGGCCU
RNAcentral lists this ribosomal RNA (390 nucleotides) under uncultured bacterium. Its description in RNAcentral is "bacterial SSU rRNA". It matches the Rfam family "Bacterial small subunit ribosomal RNA", at positions 28 to 417 of the family's 1533-position model. The record is from RNAcentral.